GCUGGAAUGGCCGAGUCGUUAAGGCGAGUGAUUUGAAUAGGCGCUCAUGUAGUGCUUGAGUUGAUAUCACUUGGUGUUUCACCGCGUAGGUUCAAAUCCUGCUUCCAGCG
This is a non-coding RNA of Macrolepiota fuliginosa MF-IS2, 110 nucleotides long. Lineage: Eukaryota; Fungi; Basidiomycota; Agaricomycetes; Agaricales; Agaricaceae. The record is from the annotation of a GenBank genome assembly.